CAGAGGAUAGUUUAAUAUAAAAAUUUUAAUUUUGGAGAUUAAGGAUAAAUUUAGAAAAAUUUUUCUCUGA
Molecule: transfer RNA, 70 nt
Filed under: Onthophagus baolocensis
Lineage: Eukaryota; Metazoa; Arthropoda; Insecta; Coleoptera; Scarabaeidae
Description: tRNA-Pro
Source: RNAcentral